CGCGCAGGCGGUCGUGCAAGUCGCGUGUGAAAGCCCCCGGCUCAACUGGGGAGGGUCACGCGAUACUGUUCGACUCGAAGGCAGGAGAGGGAAGUGGAAUUCCCGGUGUAGUGGUGAAAUGCGUAGAUAUCGGGAGGAACACCAGUGGCGAAGGCGACUUCCUGGCCUGUUCUUGACGCUGAGGCGCGAAAGCUAGGGGAGCAAACG
Molecule: ribosomal RNA, 207 nt
Filed under: uncultured bacterium
Lineage: Bacteria
Description: partial 16S ribosomal RNA
Rfam family: Bacterial small subunit ribosomal RNA
Source: RNAcentral